Molecule: non-coding RNA, 297 nt
Organism: Ciona intestinalis (vase tunicate)
Lineage: Eukaryota; Metazoa; Chordata; Ascidiacea; Phlebobranchia; Cionidae
Source: RefSeq, a predicted model, not a curated record
UGCGGUUCGUUCCACGCGUGCGUUUCGCGAUAUUUUUUCAUGGGGCCCCAUGCGCGUUUUGCGUCGACGCAAGGCACAUUACUUGUAUAUUCUAAUAAAAUUUGCGCUAUAAGCGCGAAGCAAGAAAAUCAAAGAAUUGGUAAAGUAUAAAUCACAAUCGGCAUUAUUACGUACAUAAGCUCUUUUCUAGAAACAUCGAUGUUGUGACGUCACGUAGUGGUGAUGACGCAACAGAAGAACCCACUUCAACAUAGUGGUGACGUCACAGCGGACCAAGCGGACCAUAACGUAAAGCAA